GACAGAGGUGGCAAGCGUUGCUCGGAAUCACUGGGCGUAAAGGGCGCGUAGGCGGGAUGGCAAGUCAGUCGUGAAAUCUCUCGGCUCAACCGAGAAACGUCGGCUGAUACUGCCGUUCUUGAGGGAUGCAGAGGAGACUGGAAUUCCCGGUGUAGCGGUGAAAUGCGCAGAUAUCAGGAGGAACACCGGUGGCGAAGGCGGGUCUCUGGGCCGAUACUGACGCUGAGGAGCGAAAGCGUGGGGAGCGAACAGG
Molecule: ribosomal RNA, 253 nt
Filed under: uncultured bacterium
Lineage: Bacteria
Description: partial 16S ribosomal RNA
Rfam family: Bacterial small subunit ribosomal RNA
Source: RNAcentral